GUUGGAACAAGGAUGAAUCUAAAAGCUGCAGGACAGUAGCUCUCGAGGACUAGGAUUGGGCACCCCUGAUAUAGGCCAUCCGGUUAAGUUUUAUUGGAGAGAAGGCUGGCAUUUCCUUAGCAGAUGUCUUAGAAUGAAGCCAUAACAUUAUAGGACAUAGGAAAGUGCAAACAUUUUGUUUUGGUGUGAACUCUUCCUCUAAAAUCUGAUUCGGAUGUCGUAUAAUCUAAUUAAUGAUAUCAUCAUUUCUUCUUCCAGAAAACAUGCAGGGCUUGCAAUGAUUAAAAUACUGAAACCAUCAUAAAAUUUUGACUUUGUAGUAACAAAAACAUUUAAUAAAGACACCUGCUUAUCGGUUCCACUUGCAUUUCAGCUACAACCAGCUGAUUUCAGGUCAUGCACCAGGGGAGGAAAAUGGUAGCGCAGUAUACAGCCUGGAUAUUGAAAUUACUUUUUUUAUUGCACAAAAGGACAAGAGAGAGUAGUAAAGUGGAAAACUGCUGCUUCCUUUCUACCUCUUCAUGUUUCUGAAGUAAAAUCACUGUGCCAAUCACUUUAAAGUGUCUUUGUGCUGGGGAUCACCCUUGCUUUGUGUACCUAAAGAUAAACAUUACACGUGUGACCUCAUUAGGAUACUGAUUUUUGUUGUUGUGUGGGAGUGUAGCCUAGAGGUUUAUAUUGUUAAAUGGUACUUUUGAGACAAUGGGUUGGGAAGUAACAAAUUACAAAUACUUUGUUACUGUACUCAAGAAGAAUUUUCAGGUAUCUGUGCUUUACUUGAGUAAGCAAAUAUCUCCACUGUCUACUUCUGAGAUUUUAGAAACAGACUGAUUAGUUUAGGUCCAAUGGUAUCAUUUAUAUUGCUUACACUCGCAGAUUAAAGUGGGCUGGAAUGAAUGCAGGUGUCCCUUUUUAGUUGGAUAGCCUUGGUGUAUGGGAUGGAAACAUCUGUGAAACAUCUGUGUACAUCUUGUUGGAUUCAGUUGUGUAAAUCCACAGAAAGCAGUAAACCUCAGGUCAACAAUAGCAACAGAUCAGCUGAUCACAGCCUGUAUACAGGUUUCAGAUUAUUGUAAGUAGCCUCUUAACAGCUUAGUAUUGACAUAUGUUUCUCUGUUUCUCUAAAUUACAUUGGAAACACAUUAAAGGACUUGGAUAAUCGAUAAAUGGAAAAAGAAUAAACCAGACAAUGAAACAAUGAUUUUUUAUGAGUGUUUAUUUUUAAACCAUACAGUUGUGGCCUAUAACAGCAUAACUAAAGGAUGGGACAGGGUCAGCUGAUCUAGCUGUAGCUAUAAGAUUGAUCAAAAAGGAAAGUUAUGAGUUUAAUGUUAAAAGACGAGAGCGUUUCUGUUUACACAGGACAGUGACAGGAAAGCUGAAGGCUCAGCCUCCCAUUAGACACAUUAGACCUCACCAGAGUGAACAACUUUCUCUGCAGCAACACAACUCAUAACUUUUAUUCACACCCUGUCCUGAUACUUCUAUUUCAUCUGCUAUAAACAAUAACCAUACACUAUUAUUGCAAUCUAGACUACAGCUCAAAAGUUUGUAGAGAAUUAGAAAUGUCUUAUUUUCUGACAACAGUAAAAAUCUUUUUGAUGUUUUACUAAAUUAUUCAGAAGUGUAAAGAUAUAUAAAUAAUUAAUGGUAACAUUUAUCAUAAAUCACAAAUGAGAUUUAGUGGAAUAUCUACAUAAGUGUAUUGUUAUGAAAACAACAGAAUGAUGAUGAGACACUGUGUUAAAG
Oreochromis aureus is the source of this 1749-nucleotide long non-coding RNA. The record is from Ensembl. Lineage: Eukaryota; Metazoa; Chordata; Actinopteri; Cichliformes; Cichlidae.